RNAcentral lists this unclassified non-coding RNA (240 nucleotides) under soil metagenome. Its description in RNAcentral is "partial contains 5.8S ribosomal RNA, internal transcribed spacer 2, and large subunit ribosomal RNA". The record is from RNAcentral.
AACCAUAGAAACCUGCGGAGUACCUGCGGAAGGAUCAUUACAGAGUUGCAAAACUCCCUAAACCAUUGUGAACGUUACCUAAACCGUUGCUUCGGCGGGCGGCCCGGGUCCUUCCCGGCGCCCAUCGGCCCUCGCGGGCGCCCGCCGGAGGUAAACCAAACUAUUGCAUUGUAUGGCCUCUCUGAGUCUUCUGUACUGAGUAAGUCAAAACUUUCAACAAUGGAUCUCAGAUCGGAAGAG